RNAcentral lists this ribosomal RNA (253 nucleotides) under uncultured bacterium. RNAcentral's name for it is "partial 16S ribosomal RNA". It matches the Rfam family "Bacterial small subunit ribosomal RNA", at positions 524 to 776 of the family's 1533-position model. The record is from RNAcentral.
UACGGAGGGUGCAAGCGUUAUCCGGAUUUACUGGGUUUAAAGGGUGUGUAGGCGGGUCUUUAAGUCAGUGGUGAAAUCUCCGGGCUCAACCUGGAAACUGCCAUUGAUACUAUUGAUCUUGAAUUUUGUUGAGGUAGGCGGAAUAAGUCAUGUAGCGGUGAAAUGCAUAGAUAUGACUUAGAACCCCGAUUGCGAAGGCAGCUUACUAAACAAAUAUUGACGCUGAGGCACGAAAGCGUGGGGAUCAAACAGG